GAGGGGCGCCAAAGGAAGUGACGUGAGCGGCGGUGCGGCCUGGGGACUGCUGACCGAACGUGGGCUGGCAUGUCGGCUUUGACGCGUCUAGCGCCUUUAGCGCGCGUUGGAGGCCACUUCUUCAGGGGCGUACCCGCGCGGGCGACUGGAGUCCGUCAUGCUGGUGGAGGUGUGCAUAUCGAGCCCCAGUACAGGCAGUUUCCCCAGCUGACCAGAUCCCAGGUGAUCAAGGCAGAGUUCUUCAGUGCAACCAUGUGGUUCUGGAUUCUCUGGCGCUUUUGGCAUGACUCAGAUGCCGUGCUGGGCCACUUUCCAUAUCCAGAUCCUUCCCAGUGGACGGAUGAAGAAUUAGGUAUCCUUCCUGAUGAUGAAGACUGAAAAUGUAGACUCAACUCUUUCCAAGAGCCAGGUGUUGGGAAUACCAUGCUAAACAAGACAGAUGAGAACGUAGAUUUUAGGAAGGGCAGACAAGUAGAACUAUUCUGUAGAAGAGGCUGACCCGGGUACCUUUUGCCACCAAUCUCAUCAGGAGCUUCAGCAGGACAUCAGUGUACAGUGGAGGAAACAGGAGCUGCCUGAGCUGGUACUGACCUGCCUGAGCAACUGGGCCUUUACCUUUUAUCACCUGCAUGAGCAGUGGGCUUGCUUGCCUGGAGAAGACAGAAGGAGCAAGUGGAAUACACCUGGCACAAUAUCCAUUUCUAGCUACAAACUCAAUGUCACUCAAUUUCACUAUAACCAUCAUCACAACCACAACAGAAUUUUAUACAUACAGUAUAUAUAAAAUGCAUAGUAGUGAUCUUGGAAACAAAAGUCAUGACUGAGUCCUGGCUACGUGAGACUGGGGAAGUCAUCCCUGGGGAUUCAUAUUCAGUAGCUGAUGAGGGGACCAUGACAUCUUUAAGGCUGAACCAUAUAAACUUUUUUUUGGCCGUGCCUCGCAGCUUGCGGGAUCUUAGUUCCCCAACCAGGGAUUGAACCUGGGUCCCCUGCAAUGGAAGUGCAAAGUCCUAACCACUGGACUGCUAGGGAAGUCCCUAAACCAUGUAAUCUUUAAGAACUCUUUUGGCUCUAACAUUUUACGAAUCUAGGAGAACUACACAGCCCAGACAGUAGGCCCAAUUACUACAGCCCCUGAUAAAAUUUCAGAAGAGCUAGUAUGGUAGGGUUCUUUAUAAUAGAAUUUUAUCACAAUAAUUAAAGGAUUCAUAAUUCUGGACUAAAUUUUAAGGAAAACUUAUAGAAUAAUGCACUAAGAAAUGAAUCCACAAUUACCCUACUGUAAUCAUGUAUGAAGGUUAUUUAAAAAUGAGUUUCUGUAAUUAUUACAGAAUUACAUUUUUCAGAUGAGAAAACUGCAGUUCAGAGAAAAUACUUGUCUCAACAGCAUUUUAUGAUUUGCUGGAGAGGCAUGAAGACCAGAAACCAGAUUCCUCAAAUAUGUACCAUCUUGAAGACUUUUCUGUUUAUAUUUUUCUCAGACAUAGGGUUUCCAGGUAAAGUCUUAAAAUUGUUUACCUCUCUUCUGGAAACUGCCUGGUAAUAUGACAUAGCCUUGAUGAUAUUCUAGGUGUCUUUCAAGCUUUAUGAAAUCAAAUGCAUAAAAUCAACUCAUGGGGGAAGGUAGCCAGCAUUAAAAAAAAAAAAGUGUAAAACAGGAGUGCAUAGUUUCAAAUACAUGUAUUUGUGUGUACUGUGUUCCUAUAGAAAAUGUAUUACUGGAAGUUGUGUCAAAAAAGUUUGAAAGAUACCAAAGUUCAGAAAAUGGAACUUCUACAGACUACUACUUAAACGACUCUAUUACAGCACACACUUCAUUUGAGCCACUGGAGGGGAACAGUCAGAUCACAGCAUCAUAAAAUGCUUGAGAAUAAUCACCAACACCAGACAAAAAACUCUCUGCUACAAAAGUAUAGCCGGUGCAAUGUACUAGGUAUUCAUCUUGACAAUUUACUUUUAAAAUAUUUCUCAUAAAUACCUCUGCCCACCAAGCGGUAACUGGAAACAAUGUACACUUCUUAGUUCCUCCACUGCCUGAUAGAACUGACCGUCAAAAGCCCUACUUCCAUUAUUGAAUGUGACGGUGCUAGAAAAAUGAUCUUGAUAAAGACUUCUCCAUGCAGUCAAUCUUUAUUAUAGCAGUAUUCGCAUAUUCACAUCAAGUACAUAGAACUUUUUUGCCUUUUAUAUAGUACAGAGUUUUUAAAUAACUUUACACAGAAAUAAAUUUCUUCAAUCUGAAUUUCAGCUAUCUUUUUUUUUUAAUUCUCCAUGCUUUCUAUCCAAACUGAACAAUAUUUUCCAUUGUACAAAUUUACAUGAGAAAAACUCCAAAAUACAAGUGAAAGGACCUGAGCAGGAAAGAGAACCCAAAGUAUCAAGAAGCGGGGAUGGGGAAGAAUUGAAAAAAAAAAAAUUCAAGCAAACACUGAGGAUUAAGGGACAAGAGGGAAACAUCAUCCGUUUGACUGAAAAUAAAUGUCUUUUUUUAUGAAUUGAAAAAUAAGCUUUAAAAAUAGUUACUCCUUUGUAAUUUUCGCAAAGCAGGUAUAGAGAGGUCUGUGGACAAUUAAAAAGUCCCCAUCUUUUCACUGGGCACACCCCAGACUCCAUGAGAACCUUUUCAAUGCUUGAGUGGAACGGAAGUGAACUAAACCCAAACCUCUGGCAGCAAGAGAGGAGAGGAAUGUGAAUGUGAAUCGCCAUAAGGUUUGGAGUAAACCAGGGGCCAUUAACUCACUGCAGUUAAAACAUGAAGGAUUUCCCUUUCCCCUCUCUUACAGAAGAAUUGUCCUCAAACCGAGAAAUAAGUGAAAGGCGGGGGGUGGGGGUGGGGCGCGGAUUUCCUUUUUCUUGGUCCAAACCAAAGAGCAAUCAUAACUACUAAAUAGAAUUCAAAGGGACAUAUGUUAAACAGUUAAUUUCAAUCUCCUCAUAGUUGUACACUCCUAUUUUAGAAGAAACAGCAAUUGCUGAGUGAGGAAAGGGUCAGAGUGCACAACAAAUGAAUGAGCUAUGUCACUGUGAUAGAGUCCUUCAAAUCAGGCGAUAUGAAGGCCAAGCCGAGACUAUAACCUGUGGCAUGGCCAAAGGAAACACACAGGACCCAACAAAGGCGUUUUCAAACGAAGGAGGGAAAAUUUACAGCAUACACACACAUACACACCCCUGGAUGUAAACUAACAUAACAUGAAGAUAAAUAAGACAUAAAGGUUAGCCAUUUAUGUUGGUAAUUAACAUGAAUAAAAAGGCAUUAUAUGUUUACAUAGCUGGUUUUAAUCAGCUACAGAACACAGGCAAAUGUAUUAGGAAGGAAUGAUUUUUUUAAAAACCCGUUCACAGCUUAGAAUAAAAAGCACACUUAUUGCACUCUUACAUUUUAUUUCAGGUAAUUAUAGUUUAUUUCCCACCCUCACAUCAAUUCUUCUCUACCCCUAGACUUACUCCCAUACCCUCCCCCCUCCCAUUUUGGUCCAUUUUGUCUACACCUGUGCCUAGACUGUGAGCUUUGUUGCUUAUGCUAGUCUGACGUUUCCUCUUAUGUAACACAUACUCCACCAAAACACAAGUGGGUUAAAAAAAGCUUAACACACAAAUGUAACACAAUAAUUCUCAAAACAAAACCAACUUACUAAGCAACUUACUCAUAAGCCCUAUCUCCACUCCUGUAAACAGAACACUUCCUCUGCUCUACCUCUUCAGUGAAUUUCAUGCCCGAUUCACAUAGAUUCUGUGAUGAGAACCAGCCACUCGCGGGUGCUGGACAAUGUGCUCAGCCUGCCAGGAGAAGCAGAUGGUUUGCACAAAUCUUUUUUUUUUAUGCUAACAUGAAUAAACAUAUUUUAGUUCUUUGUUUUCAAAGAGUACUUCAACCUACAGAAUUCUUAAGAAAAAAAAGCAUCACAAAAAAACCCAGAUACACUCACUGGCUGUGUCCUCAUGCACAACUGGUUAUAUCAUUGUAAUUAGUCAAAACUGCUAAAUAAACAUUUUAAUGAAACUGAUUUAGUAAUAAGACUAAGUUAACAGUUGGGUAAAGGGGGUCAAAAGGUUAAAAAAAAAGUAUUACAAGAACAACAGCUGAAAUUGUGGAUACUGAAAUAAAUGAUACACUCAAUCAAUUUUUUGAGGUAGAGACUAACCACCCCUAAGCGUUCUAAAAUAAACCACUGUUACCUUAAUUUAAGAUUUUAGUACUUAUAUUUCUGUCCUCUUCUACAUUAAAAACACCUGAUAGAAACUGUUAAUUGCCACAACUGGCAAAAUUUAGGACUGAAAUUCAAUUUAAAUGUUUUCCCAAACAGAAGUGAAAAUUGAUUAUCUUCAAACAACAAAACAAAGCUUACUCUCUAGUGUACUAAUAAAACAAAAAUCUUACCAGUAUUUUCAAUUUACCAGAGCUAGCAACAUGGAAUACGAACGAGUACACUGGCCACUUCAUUCUCCUCUGGGGGCCAAUAUACAAUCAGGCAGAGAUGCUACUGCACCCUUCGGGUGCUCAACAACCUAUGGGCAUUAGUAAUACUCCUUAGUGAAACGUCUAGAGAACUUGCUGAAGCCUUUCUUGGGGGUGGCAAGGAAUCAAGAUACUAGAAGCACACCAUGGAGUGUGUCCAGUUCACACCCGCCAGCCUUAUGUCCCCUCAUAGAGGAGCCCUUGGAGAUUCCACCUGGCCCCCAGAGCACCUUGAACAGCAUUAGCAAGACAGUCCCACUUAAUUUGCAAACAAAUCCUGAGAGGCAAGUUUAUAUUUCAAACUCUGGAAAAUCAGUGUCUAGGUUGGCAGCAGUACUAUGGGAACUGAGAAAAUCAAAUUCUGUCCUAUAUGUUAAUUUCAUCCUUCUCACUAGUUAAUACAUGACUGCUGCCCAGCAUAUAGUGACUUCAACCCUAAACUAUAGCAAUUUCUUAAAAUGUCUGUCAAACAUUCCUGUUAUAUAAAAGUUCCAUGCUUUGAAGAACCUAUGGGAGUAGAAAAAGUUUCUCUAGAAAUGUCACUGCAUUAUGAUUUCAACCUAUUUGCUCUAUGUGAUAAAUAUAUCUGACUAUACUAGGGAUUAUGUGCUUUAAAAAAAUAAUUUUGUUCACUGAAAAUUUACCUGUGUGUUUUCUCAUUUUUUUAAACAUGAUUUUGGCUAUAAACUCUUUAGUGCAUUUAUCUUUGCAGUCUAAAUUGCACGCUAAAAAAUAUUAACACAGCUGAGUUAGACCAGGGUGGCUGCUCUCUUCACAAAUCACUGAUUUCUGCUAAAAUUUUAGCUUUUUUAUUGCAUCAUGAAGGCACAGUAAGAUCAUUUGGCAAAUUGUCAAGGUAUUUUUCUAGAGCCUUACCUACACCAUCUCAAUGUAUGACCUGUAAGCUAUUUGCUGUUUAUACUCACAGUAAACUUUCCAUGUCUGGC
Delphinapterus leucas (beluga whale) is the source of this 5403-nucleotide non-coding RNA. The record is from RefSeq and is a predicted model, not a curated record. NCBI's taxonomy places the organism in Eukaryota, Metazoa, Chordata, Mammalia, Artiodactyla, Monodontidae.